RNAcentral lists this unclassified non-coding RNA (21 nucleotides) under Chlamydomonas reinhardtii. RNAcentral's name for it is "small RNA Cre_1529". Lineage: Eukaryota; Viridiplantae; Chlorophyta; Chlorophyceae; Chlamydomonadales; Chlamydomonadaceae. The record is from RNAcentral.
CUGUUAUUGCAGAGCCAGCGG